This 240-nucleotide unclassified non-coding RNA is filed under the name soil metagenome. Its description in RNAcentral is "partial contains 5.8S ribosomal RNA, internal transcribed spacer 2, and large subunit ribosomal RNA". The record is from RNAcentral.
AACUGAUACUACCUGCGGGAACCUGCGGAGGGAUCAUUACUGAAGUGAUUUGGGGACGUUGCUGGCCCUCUCUCAAGGGGGGGCACUGUGCACUCCUCGAAACAAUUCACAAUUUCCAUCACACCCCUUGUGCACACCUUGUAGGCACCCAAACCCACCUCCGGGUGGUGGGGUCCUAUGUAUUCCUUCAUCUCACACUCUGUUGAAUGGUGCCAUGGGACGCAUCUAAAGGAUUAUUUG